GUGGUUGUAGUUCAGUGGUAGAACACUUGCCUUGUACAUGUGAGGCACUGGGUUCGAUCCUCAGCACCACA
This 71-nucleotide transfer RNA is filed under the name Marmota marmota marmota (Alpine marmot). It matches the Rfam family "tRNA". Rfam says of the family: Transfer RNA (tRNA) molecules are approximately 80 nucleotides in length. Their secondary structure includes four short double-helical elements and three loops (D, anti-codon, and T loops). The record is from Rfam by way of RNAcentral. Lineage: Eukaryota; Metazoa; Chordata; Mammalia; Rodentia; Sciuridae. RNAcentral also lists the same sequence under 3 other names.